AACGAACGCUGGCGGCAUGCCUAACACAUGCAAGUCGAGCGAGACCUGCGGGCUUGGUGGCGCACUGGUGCGUAACCCGUUGGAAACUGCCCAUGGGUUCGGAUUAACUUCCGGAACGGGGUGUUAAUACCGGUUAAUGUCUUCGAACCAAAGAUUGAUCGCCUUGGGAUGGGCUUGCGUUGUAUUGGCUAGUUGGUAGGGUAAAAGCCUAUCAAGGCGAAGUUGCAUAGCUGGUUUGAGAGGAUGAUCAGCCACACUGGGACUGAGAGACGGCCCAGAUUCCUACGGGAGGGAGCAGUGGGGAAUAUGGGACAAUGGGCGAGAGCCUGAGCCAUCAAUGCCGCGUGGGUGAUGAAGGCCUGAGGGUUGUAAAGCUCUUUUACCCGGGAUGAUAAUGACAGUACCGGGAGAAUAAGCUCCGGCUAACUCCGUG
This 433-nucleotide ribosomal RNA is filed under the name uncultured bacterium. Its description in RNAcentral is "partial 16S ribosomal RNA". It matches the Rfam family "Bacterial small subunit ribosomal RNA", at positions 29 to 507 of the family's 1533-position model. The record is from RNAcentral.